GCUGGCGGCACGCCUUAUACAUGCAAGUCGAACGAAGUAGCAAUACUUAGUGGCAGACGGGUGAGUAACAUGUAGGUAUCUUCCCUUUGGUGAGGAAUAACACGAGGAAACUUGUGCUAAUACCUCAUAAGUCUUUACGGAGAAAGCUUUAUGCGCCGAAGGAUGAGCCUGCACUUGAUUAGUUUGUUGGUGGGGUAAUGGCCUACCAAGACUUUGAUCUAUAGCUGAUCUGAGAGGAUGAUCAGCCACAUUGGGACUGAGACACGGCCCAAACUCCUACGGGAGGCAGCAGUAGGGAAUAUUGCACAAUGGAGGAAACUCUGAUGCAGCGAUGCCGCGUGAGUGAAGAAGGCCUUUGGGUUGUAAAGCUCUUUCGUCGGGGAAGAAAAUGACUGUACCCGAAUAAGAAGGUCCGGCUAACUUCGUGCCAGCAGCCGCGGUAAUACGAAGGGACCUAGCGUAGUUCGGAAUUACUGGGCUUAAAGAGUUCGUAGGUGGUUAAAAAAGUUGGUGGUGAAAUCCCAGAGCUUAACUCUGGAACUGCCAUCAAAACUUUUUAGCUAGAGUAUGACAGAGGAAAGCAGAAUUUCUAGUGUAGAGGUGAAAUUCGUAGAUAUUAGAAAGAAUACCAAUUGCGAAGGCAGCUUUCUGGAUCAUUACUGACGCUGAGGAACGAAAGCAUGGGUAGCGAAGAGGAUUAGAUACCCUCGUAGUCCAUGCCGUAAACGAUGUGUGUUAGACGUUGGAAAUUUAUUUUCAGUGUCGCAGCGAAAGCGUUAAACACACCGCCUGGGGAGUACGAC
Molecule: ribosomal RNA, 803 nt
Filed under: uncultured Pelagibacteraceae bacterium
Lineage: Bacteria; Pseudomonadati; Pseudomonadota; Alphaproteobacteria; Candidatus Pelagibacterales; Candidatus Pelagibacteraceae
Description: bacterial SSU rRNA
Rfam family: Bacterial small subunit ribosomal RNA
Source: RNAcentral